Molecule: RNA transcript, 980 nt
Organism: Diprion similis
Lineage: Eukaryota; Metazoa; Arthropoda; Insecta; Hymenoptera; Diprionidae
Exons: 6
Source: RefSeq, a predicted model, not a curated record
ACGCCACUGAGAAAAUUCGUCAGCCUCGCAUUUGACGUUUCAUUUUCGUUUAUGUUUCUUCAUUGCAUUCGAUUUUGGUACCAAGCCGCCGCCCAUUCAAUAGAGGCGUAAUUUUCACCAUAGUUUUAUUAGAGAUCGUACAAGAUGCCUAACAUAUCCAGCAUAACGCAUUAUCCUCUCAAGAUCAUCUUCGCUGUGCAUUUGUUCUUCGUUACUUGGGGACUUCAAGGCAAUUGGUACCCAGGAUCGUUGAUGUUUUACAAUCUGUUAUUCUUUCUCUGCCUUCUGUGGGCAAUACACAAUUUGGAAUCAGAUGAACCGAUACAAUUUGCACUGUUCAUUAAUGUAUUGUCGAUAUUCUUCGACGUAAUUGCUCUCUCGACGUGCUUUCCAGACAAUGGAUGGGGCAAAUUUUAUGCAGCCAUGAUGAUCCUCAAUUUGAUUAUACGAGUCGUGUCUAGCUAUUCGCUACUUCAGAUUGGUCGAGCCAGAGGAGGCCCUCUGUCUACUAUGUUUGCACCUAGUCCAGCCUUGGGUAAGUAGUCCACACCUGACGUUUCUGUUUCAGCUUAGAAAUUUAUACAGUAAAAUUAACUGUUUUGGAAGGCAGGAGUACGAAGAUAUGUCGCAGCCGGUACCCAACAAUGCUGAUUUUGCAUGAUAAAAUUGAAAGGGAAAAUAUGUAUUUGAAUAUGUGAAACAUGCUGCGACCAAGAUUUUGUACAAAUUGAAUGCAACGUUAUACUGAUGCAUGUAUAUUUGACGAAAGCACCUUCGAUUGUUUGUACUAUUUGAAUAUAAUCAAUCGAAUGUCUCAUACCAAAUACCAUUUAUAUAAAGUCAAAUAUUUGUCUAUAAAAUUUAUUAUAGAAUAUAUAUGUAUAUGAUAUGAUGUCUAUGGUAUAUGCACGUGAUAGACUGUAAAAGACUACAUCUGUAUAUAGAGGAAGAUUUUGUAUUUUAGUAACGAGUAAUUUCAA